GCCGAGGUGGUGAAAUUGGUAGACACGCCAGCCCUAGGAGCUGGUGGGGCAACCCGUGGAGGUUCAAGUCCUCUCCUCGGCA
Molecule: non-coding RNA, 82 nt
Organism: Parcubacteria group bacterium CG1_02_41_26
Lineage: Bacteria
Source: Rfam